Molecule: ribosomal RNA, 253 nt
Filed under: uncultured bacterium
Lineage: Bacteria
Description: partial 16S ribosomal RNA
Rfam family: Bacterial small subunit ribosomal RNA
Source: RNAcentral
UACGUAGGGGGCAAGCGUUGUCCGGAAUCAUUGGGCGUAAAGCGCGUGUAGGCGGCCAGAAAAGUCCGCUGUGAAAACUCGAGGCUCAACUUCGAGCUGUCGGUGGAAACUUUCUGGCUAGAGUCCGGAAGAGGAGAAUGGAAUUCCUGGUGUAGCGGUGAAAUGCGCAGAUAUCGGGAGGAACACCUGUGGCGAAAGCGGCGCACUGGACCACAACUGACGCUGAGGCGCGAAAGCUAGGGGAGCAAACAGG